ACGCGAAGAACCUUACCUGGACUCGAAAUUUUGUUGACAGUCUCAGAGAUGAGAUUUUCCCGCAAGGGACAGCAGAAUAGGUGCUGCAUGGCUGUCGUCAGCUCGUGUCGUGAGAUGUUGGGUUAAGUCCCGCAACGAGCGCAACCCUCACCCUUAGUUGCUCGUCCGCAAGGAAAGCACCCUAAGGGAACUGCCUCGGAUAACGGGGAGGAAGGUGGGGAUGACGUCAAGUCCUCAUGGCCUUUAUGCCCAGGGCUACACACGUGCUACAAUGGCCGGUACAAACCGUCGCUAACCCGCGAGGGGGAGCCAAUCGGAAAAAACCGGUCUCAGUUCGGAUUGCAGGCUGCAACUCGCCUGCAUGAAGCUGGAAUCGCUAGUAAUCACGUAUCAGAACGACGUGGUGAAUACGUUCCCGGGCCUUGUA
This 427-nucleotide ribosomal RNA is filed under the name uncultured Acidobacterium sp. Its description in RNAcentral is "bacterial SSU rRNA". It matches the Rfam family "Bacterial small subunit ribosomal RNA", at positions 959 to 1385 of the family's 1533-position model. Lineage: Bacteria; Pseudomonadati; Acidobacteriota; Terriglobia; Terriglobales; Acidobacteriaceae. The record is from RNAcentral.